AAAGGUGUAGCUCAGAGGGUAGAGCAACGGUCUCCAAAAUCGUAUGUCGUGAGUUCGAUUCUCACCACCUUUG
The sequence is a transfer RNA, 73 nucleotides long. It matches the Rfam family "tRNA". From Rfam's summary of the family: Transfer RNA (tRNA) molecules are approximately 80 nucleotides in length. Their secondary structure includes four short double-helical elements and three loops (D, anti-codon, and T loops).